UAAGGUUUAGCUUUAUUUUAGGCUACUUAACUUAUUUUGUUUUUGUAAGUAAACUAAAGUGAACAUUUAAAGUGGCUAUUUGAAGAUCUGCAUUUGAUUUGGCUAUGUAUUUGAAGAUCUCCUUACAGUAUCAGAAAAUCCAUCAACGAGCUGUGUGUUAAGUUGCUACACAAAGGGUAUUCAAAGAUGAUUUCUCCGAGGCAACUACCAAGAAACAUGUACCAAUGUGGCUGAACCAAGCUAAAACCAGAUUCAAAGGACAGGAAGGAGAAAUCAGCUGUAAAACAAGGAAGCCACUAAGCCACACUGAAGCUGUCUAACAAGAAGAUGACAUGUUUGAGGACUCUAAAGUGUGUUUUCUGCUC
Long non-coding RNA from Macrosteles quadrilineatus (aster leafhopper), 365 nucleotides. RefSeq lists it as uncharacterized. The transcript is spliced from 3 exons. The record is from RefSeq and is a predicted model, not a curated record. Lineage: Eukaryota; Metazoa; Arthropoda; Insecta; Hemiptera; Cicadellidae.